RNAcentral lists this unclassified non-coding RNA (348 nucleotides) under soil metagenome. Its description in RNAcentral is "partial contains 5.8S ribosomal RNA, internal transcribed spacer 2, and large subunit ribosomal RNA". The stretch from base 1 to 120 matches the Rfam family "5.8S ribosomal RNA", at positions 35 to 154 of the family's 154-position model. The record is from RNAcentral.
GAUGAAGAACGUAGCGAAAUGCGAUAAGUAGUGUGAAUUGCAGACUUUAGUGAAUCAUCGAAUCUUUGAACGCACAUUGCGCCCCCUGGUAUUCCGGGGGGCAUGCCUGUCCGAGCGUCAUUGCUGCCCUCAAGCACGGCUUGUGUGUUGGGCCCCGCCCCCCGGCUCCCGGGGGGCGGGCCCGAAAGGCAGCGGCGGCACCGCGUCCGGUCCUCGAGCGUAUGGGGCUUCGUCACCCGCUCCGUAGGCCCGGCCGGCGCCCGCCGGCGACCCCCCUCAAUCUUUUCAGGUUGACCUCGGAUCAGGUAGGGAUACCCGCUGAACUUAAGCAUAUCAAUAAGCGGAGGA